This 241-nucleotide ribosomal RNA is filed under the name uncultured bacterium. Its description in RNAcentral is "partial 16S ribosomal RNA". It matches the Rfam family "Bacterial small subunit ribosomal RNA", at positions 95 to 334 of the family's 1533-position model. The record is from RNAcentral.
CCGGCGCACGGGUGAGUAACACGUAUCCAACCUGCCGUCUACUCUUGGCCAGCCUUCUGAAAGGAAGAUUAAUCCAGGAUGGGAUCAUGAGUUCACAUGUCCGCAUGAUUAAAGGUAUUUUCCGGUAGACGAUGGGGAUGCGUUCCAUUAGAUAGUAGGCGGGGUAACGGCCCACCUAGUCGACGAUGGAUAGGGGUUCUGAGAGGAAGGUCCCCCACAUUGGAACUGAGACACGGUCCAA